This is a long non-coding RNA of Gambusia affinis (western mosquitofish), 5439 nucleotides long. RefSeq lists it as uncharacterized. NCBI's taxonomy places the organism in Eukaryota, Metazoa, Chordata, Actinopteri, Cyprinodontiformes, Poeciliidae. The record is from RefSeq and is a predicted model, not a curated record. The transcript is spliced from 3 exons.
GAAAGAGCAUCCUCCCUUCUUAUUGUGAGGCGAGCCGAGGGCCGCUGUGCACUCUGACUAGAGCCGUAUAGAUUGGCAGAGUCUCACAGAUUAUGUCCAUUGAUUGGACAGAAGGGGUUUGUGGUUUCAAUUGAUGCAGCUUUCUGUCUGACUUUCUGUUCUGCGAUUUCAGGGGCCGAAGGAGCAGUGUUCAGCAAAUCUGUGGAGACGCCGCAUGUCAGGGCCGAGCCGUUCAAAGAGCUACGGUUGGAGUCUCCCACCCGCUCUUUACUGAUGGAGGCCCCGAAAGGAAUCCAGAUCCUGGCCGAGGCCGGAGACAUCCAGGCCAUCUGCAGGAACGAGCUGCGGCUGGAGUCCAAAGACGGAGAGAUUGCUCUGGAUGCUCAGAGGAUCCGUCUGAUGAGGCUGCCAGAAGGAAAAGCUUCCUCCAGCUCCUCGUCCUCUGGGACUAGGCAGACUGUCUAUGAAGUUUGCGUUUGUCCUAACGGGAGACUUUUUCUGUCCCUUGCUGGCACCGGAUCCACCUGCCAGAUCAACAACAACGUCUGCCUCUAGGACUGCAACUCUAUAAUUUUGUACAACUAUAAAUAAGAUAUUCGGUGGGGGGGCGGGAGGAAAUGACACGCAGAGCAGGCCGAUGUUCAAACGCUGUCUGCCUCUAGGACUGAUCCAUGGCAAAUACAAAGACUGCCAGAGCCAACAGACAAACAAAUAAGCGUCAUUUUUCAAUCAAAAACACUUUAACCUUGGGUUCUACUGAUGUGUUUAAAAAGUCAAUAAGGACGAGUUUGCUUUAAGGUUUCUGAGCGGUGCCAAAUUUCAGUGAGAACAUAUAUUUUUCCCUAACUUCUACAGAAGUCUAAAGGUUACAGGUUUCAAUACCUUUUUAAUACAGAAGGACAGAAUGGCACUUUUCGCUCUGACCUGGACAGAGACAAGUAUAAAUAAGGUUGGUGUUUGUAUCGUAAUGGCUUGACCUUAAAUGACUCACAUGACACGUCUGUUUAUUAAUAGCAAGCAAACAUAGGAAACACUUAACAGAAUUCCAGUGAGUAUUUUCUCCUGACAGAAAUGGAGAGGAAAUUCCUCUGAGAUCUACUAUAAAAGACACUGAUCUGCUCCCUUUUUUUCCCCCCCGGACCUUCUCAGUGCCAGAACCUCUGGGGUCAUCACCCAUGACAACAGGCCAAGUCUCUUUGCUAUUUAAGUUUGGUUUUACGGAACAAUUGAGAAAUAUUUUAGCUGCUGUGUUUGUAUGUGCUUUUAUGUGGCUGACUUUCACUCACAGUUUCUACAUAAGUUUGGCCAUGUUACCUUCACAUCAAAAUCUGUAAAGUCUGAGCAUUUAACUGAAGUUCAAUCAAAUUACAAAAGUUUCUUAAGGUUUUUAUGCAUAAAAUAUUCAAGAUUUGUCUUCUUCUCCUCAUUAAUCCAAAAUGUCUUCUAUCAUGCAAGCAGUUAACAACAAAUCAAUCACAGCCGAUUGAUUAAAUAAUCAAGUAUUAAAAUAUGUGAUUAUUGUUCACAAUGCUGCAGAGAAAUCACAUCCUGAAUCACAUAUAAAUCUUGAAAAAUAUAUUUAAUUUGAGUAAAAAUCUAAUUUAAAGUAGUGUGUUUUCAACCCUCUGCAGCUGUUUUGUCAUUUUGCCUUUUAACAAAAAUAUAUUUUCAACCAGGCUGCUCAGCGAGACAAAACUUACAUUAUGUUGAUUUUAAAACACAAUAAAUACACAAAAAAUAAAUCAAUAAAAUAAGAUGUCUGAACUCUUGUGGUGAUCACCCUACUGGUUUCUUGCACUGUAAGUUUAAAAAAAGAUAUUGAACCACUCUUUUGAAAGAGGGGAACUGUGCCUGUGCCUUAUGUCAAUGCACUCUUGGCAAGAAGAAGCACAUCAGACAAACUUUCUUUGACAUUAAUGAGUUUCAUGGUCUGAUUUUAGUUUGGUUUUUAUCCAGAUCACAAACCUUUUCCUUGUGUGCGAAUGCAAAGACCUUCAGCCGCCUCCGACUGUAGACACUCACAUUCGACUGCUGUGAUGGAUACAGCAUGUUGGGUUUUCUUUCAUGUAUCACAAUUUAUAUCUUUGUUUUUAAAAUAUUGCUUUUAAGUGUGUGUUAAGGCUUGACUUGGCAAUCAUGUGAUACUGUGGACUUUAAAACUGUAUUGGUUUGAUUUUUAAACAUUUGGACACUUACCUUAAGAAUACAUUAAAAUAUAUUUUUGUCAUUAGAAAUGUGUUUCAAAGUCCACCUAUGGUCUUCAGCAUUUGUUUAAUUCUUCACAGGUGAUGUAAAGAUAUACUUUGCAGAAGUUUUGCUACCUUGUUUAAUAACUACAAAAAAACGAUCAAAGCUAAUAAAAUACUUGGGUAAGAGUUUGGACACAUGUAAAAUAAAACUUAAAGAAAAGAUGUUUUAUAAAUUGUAUUGUACAUUUCAAUUUGCAAGCCUCCAUUUUCUUAUGAAAAUAACACCCCCUCAGCAUUGGCAGUAUUUUGGCAAUGUUCAGCAUUUAAUUUAACAUUACAAAACUCAAACCUCCCAUGAACUGCAGAGUGAAGGGUUUGCAUACAAGCUUGAUAAUUAUGUGUCAAAAAUGUGCCACGUAGUGCAGCAUUGGUCAGUAAAACAUUAAAAAAAACUUAUUUGAUAAUCUUUGCUGUUGUUUUUUAAGCUCCAUAUGUUCAAAUAAAACCUUUAUUGAGAUAUGAAGGACUUCAGAGGAGGGCUAUAUGAUUUAAAAAGUAGUCAUUUUAGACUACAGUUUUAUAAACGGUGUAUGAAAAUGACUUUACUGAAGGUUAGGCUUUUAUUAAUGUUUGCAGUUAGAAGAAAGGAAAUGUAGAUGUUGGUAAAAGACAAAGGUGUGUAUGUUCUGUAUCCAACUGUUUGGAAAAUGUUCCAGAACCAGAUGAAAACCACUUUAAGGUAAAAAAAAAAAAAAAGGUGGGGGUUUAAUUCAAUAACAUGUUUAUGUUGAUUUUUAGAGAAACUUGCCACUUUUUUUCCUUGAUUUACUUGCCAUAUGAUGUGUUUUAACCUUCCAGCUGCUGCUGUGCUUCAGGUUUCUCUCUGUGAGAAAGGAAAGAGGUGGAAUUGUUGUAUUUGCAGCUUGAUCAAAUAUUUUUUGACAGACCUAAUUAUGAAUCACCAUAAACUAAACAUAUGUAUGGCGCUAAUCCAGAUGGUUGGGUGCUAUUCCAAGAAACGGUCAACACAAGUAAAAGAAUACUUCAGAUUUAUAGCAGGAAUGAUUUUUUUAUUUUUUUUUUUGCUGUUGUUCUUUUUUGUUUGUUUUUGUUUUUUUGCUAUAUCUUCAAGAUGUCCUACUCCAAACAUUGUGUUAUAUUUUAUAAAUUUAUACAUAAUUUGGUGACUAUAGAUAUGAUUUUCCAUUGCAAAAGACUUGCAUGUGACAUCCUCACUCUGUAGUUAUUUAUGUCACCAUAUUGGUUAUCAAUCCAGCGUUUAGCGAUGUUAAAAUAUACGGUGUGGAUGAAACCUGCUGUAAAGUUUUACUGAUCUAAAACUAGGCGAAGACAGAGGCUAUCUAAACCAGACAUUCUUCUCUGCACACUUCCGCUCAUCCACUAAUGUGCUAACAGUGGAGCUAAUGUUUCAUGUAGCACUUUGCUAACUUUGAAAAUGUUUAAAUACAUUUUUCUGGAUAAAUUCCAGAGAGCUAAAUUACUUGGCUGUUUUAUAAAGUUUCAGACAAAUUAAGAUUGACAUCUGUGUUAAUGUAUUAGUUAAUAACUUAAGAAUUCAAGCAAUUAGCCUUUUUCAUGCUCUUAUUUUGAAGGGGGUGAAGACGUUCUGCUUCCUCUCCUUCUGUUCCUUCUUUUUUCUGCAUACCUGAUUUCAAACAAGAUACAAACAGAAGAAAAAUACAAUAUUAACAAUAGAGAACUUUACAUGAGCAUAAAUACAAUAUCUAAGGGCCGUAUAGAACAUGCAAAUUAUGUCAUAAUUAAACUGGUGCUUGAAGAUUGUAGCCCUUUAAGGGCAGACAUAAUUUGAAUUUAGGUUAGUGCUUUAGCACUAGCUUUUUUAAAUAAAGUAUUGAAAGCACUUUUUCAGAAUUAGUGUUUAUGAUUUGUGCUGUAGGGCUAACACAGCUAAUUGUGUAGUUAGCUGUGUCCAUUACUGUUGAUAACCAAUAUGCAAGACAUUUGGUCUCAAAAUGCUACAUCUUUUUGAAAAUUCCCCAUUGCAAAGCAAAAUAAUCUUUUUUUUUUAAAGAUAUGUUAUAGUCAAGGACAUAGAAAUAGUUCUAGUAUAUUUGGACAGUUUUAGAAGAUGCAGCAACUUUAAGCAUAAAGUUCAGUUUUUUAAGUUUACUCCUACAAGUAAAGUUACCACCACUUUCAUAUCACACAAUUUAAUUAUUCAACAUCUUUAGUGUUUUGUGUCCUCUCUUAGUCAGGUGUGCCACCUUUUCCUUCUGUUUCCUAUGUCACUGUACAUUAUAUAUUUUCCCACAAAACUCAACCUGAAUCUGCUGUAUUUACUUUUUGAAUACAUGUAAACAGACUUUUAUAGGGCUGUGAAUGUAAAUAAUGUAAACAUGAAUGCGGUGAUGCGGCGUUAAAGAGAAAUGUUGCUCUUUUAGAAGCCUUUUUUUUUAUGUACAAUGAUACAUGUUUUUAUACUAAAAAGGGCAAAAAGUACUCCCAAAAAGUUAAAAGGUAUUCAUUGACUCAGCAUGUACGGCAGUGUAUACAACGCUGGCCUGUGGAGAACAAGCUCGUUUUGAUUUUGUUUCAUGUUCUCGUGUCUCCGGCUGAGCUCAGAUGUUUGCUACAAACACAAAGCUGCAGAUGUUUUUGUUUUCCUACUUUGGUGCUGAGGUCUUUGCAUUCCUUCUACGUGUGCCGUGUGUAAAUUUGCGCUUGUAUGAGCUACGUUUGGUUCUUCUGCUCCUCUGAACGUGUUGGAUGGUUGCCAGUAAAUCAAAUGCAGAAAACAACUGAAAACCUAAAGGGAAAGAGCAGAAGAAACAUCUGCACAGCGUUGAUGAGUAUUGUUUUUCCACAUAUGUAGUUUACUCCAACAUUCCCACUUAAAUAUGUUUAGGUUUGCUAAUAACAUGAGUUUAAAUUUCACACAUCCAGGAUUUGUUCUACUAAUCAGUCAGUUAUUCAGUCAUGAUAAGUGACAAGUAAACUAACUAAUGCAAGAAACGUUUUGCCUGCUUGUUAAACUAUAUACAUCCAACAAGGUGUACAAAAACACACACAAAAUGAAACUCUAAAGGUAUUUACCUUGGCUGUGCCAAAAACAAUCCCCUCAGCGCUGUGCUUUUGCUCUGAACACUCUGUACCUUCUUUUCCUGACAGCCCACUCGUUUUUCCAUCUUUUCUUUACUCUUCAGUCAGAAACUGCCGUUCAUGGAGUAGUUUUCAAAGAUGCCAAAAUAAAAAAAAGGCAUUGUUCGAA